Molecule: ribosomal RNA, 423 nt
Filed under: uncultured bacterium
Lineage: Bacteria
Description: bacterial SSU rRNA
Rfam family: Bacterial small subunit ribosomal RNA
Source: RNAcentral
UGAGGAAUAUUGGUCAAUGGGCGCGAGCCUGAACCAGCCAAGUAGCGUGAAGGAUGAAGGUCCUAUGGAUUGUAAACUUCUUUUAUAGCAGAAUAAAGUGACCCACGUGUGGGUUUUUGUAUGUAUGCUAUGAAUAAGGAUCGGCUAACUCCGUGCCAGCAGCCGCGGUAAUACGGAGGAUCCGAGCGUUAUCCGGAUUUAUUGGGUUUAAAGGGUGCGUAGGCGGAAAGAUAAGUCAGCCUGUGAAAGUUUGCGGCUCAACCGUAAAAUUGCAGCUGAUACUGUUUUUCUUGAGUGUACAUAAGGUAGGCGGAAUUCGUGGUGUAGCGGUGAAAUGCUUAGAUAUCACGAAGAACUCCGAUUGCGAAGGCAGCUUACCGGGGUACAACUGACGCUGAUGCACGAAAGUGUGGGUAUCAAACA